CCUACGGGAGGCAGCAGUGAGGAAUAUUGGUCAAUGGACGAGAGUCUGAACCAGCCAAGUAGCGUGAAGGAUGACUGCCCUAUGGGUUGUAAACUUCUUUUAUAAAGGAAUAAAACGAGGCACGUGUGCCUUUUUGCAUGUACUUUAUGAAUAAGGAUCGGCUAACUCCGUGCCAGCAGCCGCGGUAAUACGGAGGAUCCGAGCGUUAUCCGGAUUUAUUGGGUUUAAAGGGAGAGUAGAUGGGUUGUUAAGUCAGUUGUGAAAGUUUGCGGCUCAACCGUAAAAUUGCAAUUGAUACUGGCAGUCGUGAGUACAGUUGAGGUAGGCGGAAUUCGUGGUGUAGCGGUGAAAUGCUUAGAUAUCACGAAGAACCCCGAUUGCGAAGGCAGCUUACUAAACUGUGACUGACAUUGAUGCUCGAAAGUGUGGGUAUCAAACAGGAUUAGAUACCCCAGUAGUC
RNAcentral lists this ribosomal RNA (460 nucleotides) under uncultured bacterium. RNAcentral describes it as "partial 16S ribosomal RNA". It matches the Rfam family "Bacterial small subunit ribosomal RNA", at positions 338 to 795 of the family's 1533-position model. The record is from RNAcentral.